RNAcentral lists this ribosomal RNA (619 nucleotides) under Sphingomonas aquatilis. Its description in RNAcentral is "bacterial SSU rRNA". It matches the Rfam family "Bacterial small subunit ribosomal RNA", at positions 91 to 746 of the family's 1533-position model. The record is from RNAcentral. Lineage: Bacteria; Pseudomonadati; Pseudomonadota; Alphaproteobacteria; Sphingomonadales; Sphingomonadaceae.
UCUAGUGGCGCACGGGUGCGUAACGCGUGCGAAUCUGCCCUUUGGUUCGGAAUAACAGUUGGAAACGACUGCUAAUACCGGAUGAUGACGAAAGUCCAAAGAUUUAUCGCCAGAGGAUGAGCCCGCGUAGGAUUAGCUAGUUGGUGUGGUAAAGGCGCACCAAGGCGACGAUCCUUAGCUGGUCUGAGAGGAUGAUCAGCCACACUGGGACUGAGACACGGCCCAGACUCCUACGGGAGGCAGCAGUGGGGAAUAUUGGACAAUGGGCGAAAGCCUGAUCCAGCAAUGCCGCGUGAGUGAUGAAGGCCUUAGGGUUGUAAAGCUCUUUUACCCGGGAUGAUAAUGACAGUACCGGGAGAAUAAGCUCCGGCUAACUCCGUGCCAGCAGCCGCGGUAAUACGGAGGGAGCUAGCGUUGUUCGGAAUUACUGGGCGUAAAGCGCACGUAGGCGGCUUUGUAAGUUAGAGGUGAAAGCCUGGAGCUCAACUCCAGAACUGCCUUUAAGACUGCAUCGCUUGAAUCCAGGAGAGGUGAGUGGAAUUCCGAGUGUAGAGGUGAAAUUCGUAGAUAUUCGGAAGAACACCAGUGGCGAAGGCGGCUCACUGGACUGGUAUGACGC